UACGUAGGGUGCAAGCGUUACUCGGAAUUACUGGGCGUAAAGCGUGCGCAGGCGGUCGUGCAAGACAGGUGUGAAAUCCCCGGGCUUAACCUGGGAACUGCACUUGUGACUGCACGGCUGGAGUACGGUAGAGGGGGAUGGAAUUCCGCGUGUAGCAGUGAAAUGCGUGGAUAUGCGGAGGAACACCGAUGGCGAAGGCAGUCCCCUGGACCUGUACUGACGCUCAUGCACGAAAGCGUGGGGAGCAAACAGG
Molecule: ribosomal RNA, 253 nt
Filed under: uncultured bacterium
Lineage: Bacteria
Description: partial 16S ribosomal RNA
Rfam family: Bacterial small subunit ribosomal RNA
Source: RNAcentral